This 518-nucleotide ribosomal RNA is filed under the name uncultured Ambispora. RNAcentral's name for it is "SSU rRNA". It matches the Rfam family "Eukaryotic small subunit ribosomal RNA", at positions 569 to 1089 of the family's 1831-position model. The record is from RNAcentral. Lineage: Eukaryota; Fungi; Glomeromycota; Glomeromycetes; Archaeosporales; Ambisporaceae.
AGCAGCCGCGGUAAUUCCAGCUCCAAUAGCGUAUAUUAAAGUUGUUGCAGUUAAAAAGCUCGUAGUUGAAUUUUGGGUCUGGCCGGGCGGUCCGCCCUCCGGGUGAGCACUGUUCCGACGCCGGGCCUAUCCUUCUGGUGAGUCGGCAUGUCCUUUGUUGGGUGUGUCGGGGAACCAGGACCAUUACCUUGAAAAAUUAGAGUGUUCAAAGCAGGCGCAUGCUCGGAUACAUUAGCAUGGAAUAAUGAAAUAGGACGCGUGGGGCUAUUUUGUUGGUUUCUAGAACCGCCGUAAUGAUUAAUAGGGAUAGUUGGGGGCAUUAGUAUUCAAUUGUCAGAGGUGAAAUUCUUGGAUUUAUUGAAGACUAACUUCUGCGAAAGCAUUUGCCAAGGAUGUUUUCAUUAAUCAAGAACGAAAGUUAGGGGAUCGAAGACGAUCAGAUACCGUCGUAGUCUUAACCAUAAACUAUGCCGACUAGGAAUCGGGCGAUGUUAUUCUCAUGACUCGCCCGGCGCCUU